ACUGCUCAGUAACACRUGGACAACGUGCCCUUAAGUGGAGGAUAAUCUCGGGAAAUUGAGGAUAAUACUCCAUAGAUCAUGACACCUGGAAUGAGUCAUGGUUCAAAGUUCCGGCGCUUAAGGAUCGGUCUGCGGCCUAUCAGGUAGUAGUGGGUGUAAUGUACCUACUAGCCUAUGACGGGUAUGGRCCUUGAGAGAGGGAGCCCAGAGUUGGAUUCUGAGACMCGAAUCCAGGCCCUACGGGGCGCAGCAGUCGCGAAAACUUCACAAUGGGCGCAAGCCCGAUGAGGGAACUCCUAGUGCUAGCACUUUUUGUGUUAGCUUUUCUUCAGCGUAGAUAACUGAAGGAAUAAGGGCUGGGUAAGACGGGUGCCAGCCGCCGCGGUAAUACCUGCAGCCCAAGUGGUGGUCGAUUUUAUUGAGUCUAAAACGUUCGUAGCCGGUCUGGUAAAUCCUUGGGUAAAUCGGAAAGCUUAACUUUCCGAAUUCCGAGGAGACUGCCAGACUUGGGACCGGGAGAGGCUAGAGGUACUUCUGGGGUAGGGGUAAAAUCCUGUAAUCCUAGAAGGACCACCGGUGGCGAAGGCGUCUAGCUAGAACGGAUCCGACGGUGAGGGACGAAGCCCUGGG
RNAcentral lists this ribosomal RNA (630 nucleotides) under uncultured euryarchaeote. RNAcentral's name for it is "bacterial SSU rRNA". It matches the Rfam family "Archaeal small subunit ribosomal RNA", at positions 85 to 716 of the family's 1478-position model. The record is from RNAcentral. Lineage: Archaea; Methanobacteriati; Methanobacteriota.